Molecule: ribosomal RNA, 490 nt
Filed under: uncultured bacterium
Lineage: Bacteria
Description: partial 16S ribosomal RNA
Rfam family: Bacterial small subunit ribosomal RNA
Source: RNAcentral
GAUGAACGCUAGCUACAGGCUUAACACAUGCAAGUCGAGGGGCAGCAUGGUCUUAGCUUGCUAAGGCCGAUGGCGACCGGCGCACGGGUGAGUAACACGUAUCCAACCUGCCGUCUACUCUUGGACAGCCUUCUGAAAGGAAGAUUAAUACAAGAUGGCAUCAUGAGUCCGCAUGUUCACAUGAUUAAAGGUAUUCCGGUAGACGAUGGGGAUGCGUUCCAUUAGAUAGUAGGCGGGGUAACGGCCCACCUAGUCUUCGAUGGAUAGGGGUUCUGAGAGGAAGGUACCCCACAUUGGAACUGAGACACAGACCAAACUGCUACGCGAGGCAGCAGUGAGGAAUAUUGGGCGAUGGGCGCAGGCCUGAACCAGCCGAGUAGGGUGAAGGAGGACUGCCCUAUGGGUUGUAAACUUCUUUUAUAAAGGAAUAAAGUCGGGUAUGUAUACCGGUUUGCAUGUACUUUAUGAAUAAGGAUCGGCUAACUCCGUG